Molecule: long non-coding RNA, 436 nt
Organism: Cydia fagiglandana
Lineage: Eukaryota; Metazoa; Arthropoda; Insecta; Lepidoptera; Tortricidae
Exons: 2
Source: RefSeq, a predicted model, not a curated record
UAACGACCCCAUCACUCGCUGGUUUUACCAGUGCAAUCAGUCAACGCAGGGCAGCUUGUGGCGAGCUGUUGGGGAUUAGCGACCUCACGUACCCGAGUGCUCCUAGGGAGUUCUGUUACCCGCAAGGAGGGGCGAGUUAUUUGCAUACCGUUUUAUUAGGCAGGCGUCCGGUUUUUUACCCAUCCAUCACUUAGUCCAUCGCUUUCACCCAAUAACCUAGUUCAUUUUAUAUUUCAUCAACUCUCAAUAGUCCUUACACCCUGGCGGGUGCUGCCUCUGCGUGCGUCCCAUGACACGGGUAAGGGCAGCAUCCGCUCGGUGUACCCCUUACAUUUCAUUAAAGUGUCAAAAGGGCCUCUACGUGUUGGCUUCGACUCCGCGCACGCCUCCCAAAGGUCCGGAACACCAUUGUUCCGUGAUGGAAAAGACAUACAAA